AGCGAACCGGGGGAACUGAAACAUCUAAGUACCCCGAGGAAAAGAAAUCAACCGAGAUUCCCCCAGUAGCGGCGAGCGAACGGGGAGCAGCCCAGAGUCUGAAUCAGCUUGUGUGUUAGUGGAACGGUCUGGAAAGUCCGACGGUACAGGGUGAUAGUCCCGUACACCAAAAUGCACAGGUUGUGAACUCGAAGAGUAGGGCGGGACACGUGGUAUCCUGUCUGAAUAUGGGGGGACCAUCCUCCAAGGCUAAAUACUCCUGACUGACCGAUAGUGAACCAGUACCGUGAGGGAAAGGCGAAAAGAACCCCGGCGAGGGGAGUGAAAAAGAACCUGAAACCGUGUACGUACAAGCAGUGGGAGCCUCUUUAUGGGGUGACUGCGUACCUUUUGUAUAAUGGGUCAGCGACUUAUAUUCUGUAGCAAGGUUAACCGUAUAGGGGAGCCGAAGGGAAACCGAGUCUUAACUGGGCGUUAAGUUGCAGGGUAUAGACCCGAAACCCGGUGAUCUAGCCAUGGGCAGGUUGAAGGUUGGGUAACACUAACUGGAGGACCGAACCGACUAAUGUUGAAAAAUUAGCGGAUGACUUGUGGCUGGGGGUGAAAGGCCAAUCAAACCGGGAGAUAGCUGGUUCUCCCCGAAAGCUAUUUAGGUAGCGCCUCGUGAACUCAUCUUCGGGGGUAGAGCACUGUUUCGGCUAGGGGGUCAUCCCGACUUACCAACCCGAUGCAAACUGCGAAUACCGAAGAAUGUUAUCACGGGAGACACACGGCGGGUGCUAACGUCCGUCGUGAAGAGGGAAACAACCCAGACCGCCAGCUAAGGUCCCAAAGUCAUGGUUAAGUGGGAAACGAUGUGGGAAGGCACAGACAGCCAGGAUGUUGGCUUAGAAGCAGCCAUCAUUUAAAGAAAGCGUAAUAGCUCACUGGUCGAGUCGGCCUGCGCGGAAGAUGUAACGGGGCUAAACCAUGCACCGAAGCUGCGGCAGCGACACUAUGUGUUGUUGGGUAGGGGAGCGUUCUGUAAGCCGUUGAAGGUGUGCUGUGAGGCAUGCUGGAGGUAUCAGAAGUGCGAAUGCUGACAUAAGUAACGAUAAUGCGGGUGAAAAACCCGCACGCCGGAAGACCAAGGGUUCCUGUCCAACGUUAAUCGGGGCAGGGUGAGUCGACCCCUAAGGCGAGGCCGAAAGGCGUAGUCGAUGGGAAACAGGUUAAUAUUCCUGUACUUGGUGUUACUGCGAAGGGGGGACGGAGAAGGCUAUGUUAGCCGGGCGACGGUUGUCCCGGUUUAAGCAUGUAGGCGGAGGUUCCAGGUAAAUCCGGUACCUUUUUAACGCUGAGGUGUGAUGACGAGGCACUACGGUGCUGAAGUAACAAAUGCCCUGCUUCCAGGAAAAGCCUCUAAGCAUCAGGUAACACGAAAUCGUACCCCAAACCGACACAGGUGGUCAGGUAGAGAAUACCAAGGCGCUUGAGAGAACUCGGGUGAAGGAACUAGGCAAAAUGGUGCCGUAACUUCGGGAGAAGGCACGCUGAUAUGUAGGUGAAGCGGUUUACCC
RNAcentral lists this ribosomal RNA (1559 nucleotides) under Citrobacter freundii. Its description in RNAcentral is "partial 23S ribosomal RNA". It matches the Rfam family "Bacterial large subunit ribosomal RNA", at positions 178 to 1772 of the family's 2925-position model. Lineage: Bacteria; Pseudomonadati; Pseudomonadota; Gammaproteobacteria; Enterobacterales; Enterobacteriaceae. The record is from RNAcentral.